UCAUAAUACAGGUCCCAUUCUUUCUCCAGAUGCAGGUUCAUCUCCCAUUCCAUCUCCAGCAGUCCCAGUGUUGUCCAUGUCUCUACCCAGGCUGCUGUGUAGUCUACUGGUGGGGUCUCCCUACCUGCUGGUGACCAUCAUACUGCUGGUGAAAUGCUGCAGGAGCAGGACUCAAGGUGAUCAUGUUGAAGAAGAGUGAGGCUGAGAUCACCUGAUCACCAUAACAACCAUCAGAAUGGAACUCCUGUAAUUCUAAUAUAGAACUGUGAGUCACAAUGCUGUAUGUUGUUACAUUGUAGCUCCACCUGCUGGAACAAUAGUGGCAUUUGAUCAAAUGUGAUCUAUUAACUGAUACAUGUAUUAUUCUGAUUGGAAUGUGUUUUAAUAUAAUGUGUGUUGUAUUAUUCAUUCAGCAGCUUUAACAGCAGUCAUAUACUGGUCAUAUACUGUAUAGCAUUAUGGUUGAUACAUUGUAAAUGCCUUAACUUUUCAUGUCUAUACAGAUCAACUGAUAGGUGUGAGGUUCAGGCAUUAUUGUUACAGGUUCAGUAUAAUGUUAUACCGUUACAUGUUACAGAGUUAGAAAACAUACAGGAGAGGAGAAUUCAAUUAUUACAAUUAUUUUCUGUAUUUUCCCAUUUUGGUCUCAUUAUUAUUUGAUUUGAUUUUUAACAUGGAACUAAUGUAGGCCUAUUGUUUUAUUUUGGUUGUUUUGUGCAAAACCAUUAUUUUUCUAUUAAUCAUCCUGGUAAGAUAUUGUUUUUGUCUUUGUAGCAUAUAGAAUUAAAUAAAUGAUUUUCCUCAA
Long non-coding RNA from Salvelinus sp. IW2-2015, 805 nucleotides. RefSeq lists it as uncharacterized. Lineage: Eukaryota; Metazoa; Chordata; Actinopteri; Salmoniformes; Salmonidae. The record is from RefSeq and is a predicted model, not a curated record.